AGUGAACGCUGGCGGUAGGCCUUACACAUGCAAGUCGAACGGUAACGCGGGGCAACCUGGCGACGAGUGGCGAACGGGUGAGUAAUGCAUCGGAACGUGCCCGGUAGUGGGGGAUAACUGCUCGAAAGAGCAGCUAAUACCGCAUACGACCUGAGGGUGAAAGGGGGGGAUCGCAAGACCUCUCGCUAUCGGAGCGGCCGAUGGCGGAUUAGCUAGUUGGUGGGGUAAAGGCACACCAAGGCAACGAUCCGUAGCUGGUCUGAGAGGACGAACAGCCACACUGGGACUGAGACACGGCCCAGACUCCUACGGGAGGAAGCAGUGGGGAAUUUUGGACAAUGGACGCAAGUCUGAUCCAGCCAUGCCGCGUGCGGGAAGAAGGCCUUCGGGUUGUAAACCGCUUUUGUCAGGGAAGAAAUCUUCUGGGUUAAUACCUCGGGAGGAUGACGGUACCUGAAGAAUAAGCACCGGCUAACUACGUGCCAGCCGCCGCCGUAA
This 498-nucleotide ribosomal RNA is filed under the name uncultured bacterium. RNAcentral describes it as "partial 16S ribosomal RNA". It matches the Rfam family "Bacterial small subunit ribosomal RNA", at positions 29 to 523 of the family's 1533-position model. The record is from RNAcentral.